Molecule: long non-coding RNA, 8107 nt
Organism: Numida meleagris (helmeted guineafowl)
Lineage: Eukaryota; Metazoa; Chordata; Aves; Galliformes; Numididae
Exons: 3
Source: RefSeq, a predicted model, not a curated record
CACUGCUAGCAUGCAUCCCCAGUAUUGCAGCUGUGCAUCCCGAGCACUGCUAGCAUGCACCCCCAGUAUUGCAGCUCUGCAUCCCCAGUAUUGCAGGCAUGCAUCCCCAGUAUUGCAGCUGUGCAUCUCUAGCACUGCAGCCGUGCAUCCCCGGCAUUGCAGCUGUGCAUCCCCAGCACUGCAGGUUUGCUUAUUCAUUCAUAUGCAAAUUGAGAAGAAACAUACAGGAGAGGGUAAUGUCUUGGCCUCCAAAUCAUGCUGGCACUAUGAUGGUGGAGCAGGAGUUGAAGUCUUUCUGGCUAAUUAAUUAGUGCUGACAAAGGAUAGUCCAAGUCAGUGCUAAAUAUGUGCUACGUGCAGGAGCUAUUUUCCUCUCGGUGGCCCUAAGUAAUGGCUGCCUGAAUUGAAGCCUACACCCACAGCCAACACUGCAGCCCAAAGGGAUGGGGGUAAGCAAAGCAAAGCUUGGGCUUGGGCAAUGCCCAGCACCCAUCUGGGCUUCGGGGCUCCUUCCCACUGCUCCCUGAGCUGCCUUCUCCCCUACAGACCCCACUCCCCCUCCCUAAGGGGACUCCCCCCAUCUCAGUGCAGUGGGAGGGGAGUUCCUGUGCUGCAGUUGCACCUCAGCAGUGCGAGCUCUGCACCCACUGCUCAGGCACAGCCUGAUCCCGCUUCGUGCUUUGUUGCUAACAUGGCCCACCGUAUAAAAAGCUAUUGAGGCUUCAUGGAAACACACUGCUUUGGAAACAAUUCUGCUUGUACAUCAUACAUUUUCCUGUCAUUUUUAUUCCCUUGGUAUUUUAUUACUGAGGGAUAUUUGCAUGAAAAUAGAAUCUUUGUUUCAUAAGAAUUCAUCUGCUUCUGCUACCCUGGUCCUGGAGGAAUUUACGGUGAAUGAACACUCUGUAUUUCUCAUGUUCUCACACACACAAAAAAAUGCCAAUUAUUUAAAUUAUUGUAUCUUCUGGAGGCUUAAUUUCCCACCAUGAAUCUCCCAUUCAAUCAAUGCCACAGCAACCUCGAGAACUGAACGGGGAGGAGAGCUAGGGAAGCAGCAGCUGCAGGAACCCGGCGGUGGAUUCGGGCUGAGGCUCCAGAAAUGCUGCCCUUCCAUCCUGCGAGGCGACUGCCACGGGACUGGGGCUGACAGAAGCAUCAGGAGCUGUGAGAUGGGGCACCACGAGCAGGGGAAGCGUGGGAUGAGCAUCCGCUGUCUGCCUGUCAGCACCAGGCAGUGCCCUUCCCCGGGGACACCCCUGUGCCCCAGAGGGCAGCGGGUGGAAAUGAGCACGUUCACGUUUUUCAUAAGAACAAAUUACUUUGGGGAGCCCGCCUGGACCAGCGCACUCCUCACGCCUCGGUCCUCAGAGCCUUAAUCAAAAUUUGCUUUGAGAUGCUUUUCAAAACGUUCACAGGAAUAUUGUAUUUUCCAGGGGCUAUAGGAAGAAUAUUUGCAAUUGAAAAAAGCAAUAAUGGCUUUGGAAAGCAACGUGAUACAACUGCCAAUUAAAAUCUUUGACUUAAAACCCAUGGACUUCAUAAAGAGGAAUCCAGGCUUCGUGGAGAGGAAAGGAGGGUUUGGUUCCCAGAGCAUAUCUGUACCGCAGGGCAGGGCUACCCUCCAUGCUGGCCUUGGCUGGCCUCCUCUUCCUCCUCCUCCUCUUCCUCCUCCUCUUCCUCCUCCUCUUCCUCCUCCUCUUCCUCCUCCUCCUCCUCCAGGAGCUGCCAAGGACUCAGGAGGAGCAGCACACGGGACUGCUCCCCAUCACACAAGGAUUCCCCUCACAAGAUCUCCUCCUCCAAACCUCCAAACUCCAGUUUCAGCUGGAGCUGCAACUUCCCAGUCUGGCUGCUGAGCUCCCAGUUGGCUGUUCUGCCCUUAAUCUGCUGCGGGUGGGUUCCCCUACGACAAAAAGAAGCCGUUCUUAAGUCUCAAAUGCAGAGGCAUUAAUUCUUAGGCCAGAAAUCUGAGUAAAUCCCAUGGAAUCCUCAGUCUGGUCUACUUCUGAACAGGCUUUCGGUUCCCUCCUCCUUACUUAAUUGAAACAAAUGCAUCCAUUUAAAUCUACACAUCUUCCAAAUUUUCUAAUGCCUCCUGUAAUUCAUGCCAAUCUUUUAUCACUUGAAAAACAAUCAGGUUCUUUACUUGCCUAAUUCUGUUUUGCUUGCUCCCAGGCAAUUUAGAUCCUGAACCACCAGCUCGUGCACAUGUUCAUUAGCCACAUCCAUUUAGCUGCUUGGGCAGCUGUGCUUUUUAAUGGAGCUGAAAAAGCUGCAUGAACGCUCCCUUCCAAUGCAAGCUGUAGGGACGGAGCCCGCAGGGUUUGCUCUGGCAGAAGCAGCUCUCCCAGAGGCAGGGAAUGAGCAACACAACGAGCUCUUCUCUUGGAGGCUGCAAAUUCUUGGGCUUCCUGUUCACAUUUCCCCAUCUCCUCGUGUCAGCUGACAAGGAGGAAAUCUCACGUCUGGCUAGAAACGAGUGCAAUCUCACUGCACCGAAACAGGAACAAAGAGUAAUCCAAAAGCACUUACAAGGGGGUUUUAGAGCAGUUUCACAAUUCUGGCAAAUAUUAAGUCGAACGCGCUGAAAAUAAUCAACAAAGCAAGCUUCCCUCUACCCACAAAGCUGGGAGCUCUGCCCUCAGAGCACGGCGAUCUUGCUCCGUGCUGCCCUUCCUGCACGGCUGCAUUUCCCUUGUCCGCCGGAUCCCACCGCACUGCAGCGGCACUGCUGGCUUCAGAGCCCAGCUCCGCUGUGCUGGGAGGAACAGAGAGCCAGGAAACACGCGGAGCUGCCCGCAACAUCUUGCUGACUUGCAGAUGGAAUCCAAGAGCAGAGCCGUCCCGCGGGGCCGCCUCCCGGUCUCCACUCGAAUGAGAUCGCGCAAACAAAAGGGCUAACAAACCCCAAUUAGCGCUCAGGAGCAUCUCCCAGCACGGCGCAAGGCGCAGGAGGCUGCUUUUUGGUGCUGUGGUGUAAACUAACAGUUAAACGUCGCCUUCUGUUCUCAUUCCUUCCAGUUGAGCAGGCUACGGCCGCGUCCGGUUUUCUCCUCAAUAACCAAAUCAAGCAUAAAAACCAACUGCAGAACUAUGCGUAUUGCACAAGAAGACACGAGACUGAGCGCAGCCACGGGCAAUACAAGAAGCAGUCGGGCCGCUGUUUGUUAGCAGGGCAGAACUUUAGGACCCAAACAGAUGCACUCUGCUUUAGGAGGAUGCUCGUCCCACAUCCCACACCGCUGCAGGAGGGGGUUGGCACAGCAUGGCACGGAGCUGGGAUGAGCUGGCAGCAGCCUUAACCUUCCCAAAGGGCACUCCCUCAUCACGCACCAUUCCCAGCACUUUGCAGCACAUCCCGGAGGACCAGGAGCCGGUGGCUGCGUGAGAAGUAACCUCUGAAUGCUCCAAACCUGCUGGGCCCACGGAUUAGGAAAUUAAUAGUUGGCCUUACCCCUUGGAAAGGCAAAUACAACAAGGAAACAACAGGGGUCUGCCCGGCCGCCAGCUAAAUCCUGCCUGCAUCCCUGCUGCUGCCGGACUCCGUGUAAUUUAAGCACAGGAUUCCCCACUCUCUGCUGAGAAGAGCGUGCUGCCCUGGCACUGCUCUGAAGAACUGUGGGGACCGAGCAGAGCUCUGCCUGGCAGCCAGAGCAUCGUGGAGCAGCGGGACCCCCAAGCUGUGCCAUAACAAAGGGCUUUGCCAUGAGCCCCAAGGGGGGACUGCACGUGGGGCAGCAGGAAGGCUUUGUCAGAGCUCUUCUCUGCAGGGAGAUCGUCAUGACUGGACACACAACACGUUUCUGCUUCUGGCAAAGCUGAGCACAGACAUAGGGGUUGAUCAGAGCGUGAGAUCCUUCAUCCAGGCCUCAACUGCGUGCUGCUUCUGAGAGCGAUUUCCAAGGGCGGAAACACGGGGAAACGUCACAUCACCGAAUCACCCACCAGACACCAACAGAUGGGAUAGUUUGCAAGUGCAAACAUCUUCCCCGCGUGCCACCCCACAGCAGCACGGGGUAAAGGAAUGCCCACAGCUCGAGGUGCUCCCAUCGCUUUCAAGUGCUACUCGCCCAGAAGCCUGCACACAUCCCUGCACCAAGGGAAGCUGUCCCCUCCCGCUGCCGGUGACGCUGGUUUCUUUCUCCAAAGGAAACACAGCACCAAGGGAAUGCAUGAAGACACGAGCACCUGGAACAACGCGCGUGUAAUCCGCCAACGGACACGGAAACCGCUAGGAGCCUAUCAGUUCUGACAGCGAGUUCCCCAGGGCUAUCCAAUUAUAAUACAAUGAACUAGAGCUACUAAAAACCUAAACAGGAGUGUAUGUCUCUCUGAUACAGCAAUGAGCCUUAAGCCACAAUUUAAAAACCAUGCGUGCAACGCAGAGAUACAGGACGGCUUCUGAAGGGGAGGACGGAGCAGAGCUGAGGAGCUGGGGGGGCUGCACAGCCCCAAGCACGGUGCACCCAGCGUGGGGGGCUGCCCCCCCGUGAAGCACUCAUUAGCAGUAUUACAGCCUUCCCAUCCAAAUAGAGAGCUGCCGAAAGCCAGAACAAGCAGCAAAAUGGGGAAAAGCGCUCCAGAUGGGGAAUUUGCUCGUGCACCGCUGCCAGGAGGCUGCGUUAAUGAAGUACUCGUGCAGGCUGCAGCUUGCUCAAGGCACGAGUUUCAGAGGGAGCCUGCACACUUCGGCCGGGCACUAACAGGGUGCCACAGUGCAAAGGGCAGCACAGCGUGGGCUCCGGUCCCCGCAGCACCUGGAUGCUCCAGCACACCACUAAAGGGCUUGGCUUGUGCAGCCAGGGAUCCAUUUGGCCGCUUGCUUCCACGCUGCAGCCACACAACGCUCCGAGCCAGAGGCAUGGGAAAGGGACGGUGACUCCACGCCGCCUCCAAAUAACCAACGCAAGUUUGCUCCGUUCACAAGCAGUACAAAAACCAGGACGUGCUGUUUGCAUCCUCCGCCGUCGCCAUGAGAUGGUGCUGCGAUGGCAGCUGGGUGCUCCCCUGCUCGGUGAGCAGAGCAGGACGCAGCUCCCCUUCCCCGAGGUGCCCCAGCUUCAGUGCAAAAAGGAUUAAAGCUCUCAGGGUAACGGCGCCCAGCGCCGCCGGUGUCAGAUGGCACCAUUGGACACGGAUGGAACGAGCUGCAGAUGACAUUUGCAUCUUUUUGUUUUCUGGCUGCACAAGGAGGUCCUGCUGUCAAACGGCUCCAAGUCAAUUCAUUCCACAGAAGAAUUCGGGAUUAAACGAUAAAAGUCGUCAGCGCGGUGUUUUAAGCUCGCCCUGCCCACCCCUUCCAAGCAGCACAUGAAGGGCCUGAAGAGAUUAUGUCUCCUAAGCAUGGAAGACGUGGCAAAAAAAUUGAUUACACGGUGAUAAUAGGAAUAUGCUAGCUGUUUAGGUGUCAAAUGAAACAUAAUUCUGAAGAAUAUUUUUGCCUUUAGAAUAAUACAUCAUCUUCCCAAACUGCCACGAGCUCCCCUGUUAUUAAUGCUCCUCAGAACGACGACAAUUGAAAUGAUAAUGCGUUUCUAAAUUAAUAUUGCAUCUUCCCAUUUCAGUAUCUGAUGAGCUGUAUCAAAACUUCAUUAAAUCACUCCAUUUCGCCGGCUCCAGCCCAUAAUCAGCGCUGAGUCGCACAUCUGGGCUCGCAUCAGCCCACGCUCCCAGCCCCAGCCCAGCACCCCCCCAUGGCAUUUCCCAUUACCUGCCCCAAACUGAAUUGUUCCGGGACAGAACUCAGCCAAGGGAUCGCGCUAAGCGACUUCCACGGGCACGUCGUUAGGUCGGGGUAAAUUAAUUAGGAAGCUAUUUCAAUCCUUGUAAAAAUUUAAAUCCCACAGCUGCCGCGGCCAGGCUCCGCUCUCCCCUUGUGUUUUUGUUUAUUGUCAAAAUUGACUGUAAUUAAGCCGUAUGUGCCAAGCCAGGAUUAUACCUGCCUUUUAAAUUAAAACGGCCCCUUCAGUGCCUGCUGAUAGAUGCGGCUAAUUCAUUUAAAUUCUCAUUUCAAGACAGACAUUUCAUGUCAAGCUUGAAACUUAAUUACUCGGUCAGAGCCCAGGAGACCGCCCUGCCGUGCAGCGCAGCGCUGCCGUCCCCUUGCAGGGCACCGGGGCCACCCAGGGGCCCCCAGCCCUGUGCCUCCCAUGCUCGGGGUCCCCUCUGCUCCCACACCAGCUCCAGUCUCCUGCUGCUGCACCUCUGCAGGAGGCAAACGAAGCCACAUUUCAGAAAGCUGUGGCCCUGCCAGCAUCGCCCUCAAGGGGAACCAACAACCAGCGCACAAAGAGGGGGAUGCAACAAAUUCAGACCCGGUGACUGCAAGUACUUUGCUUCUUUUCCUGCACGUAAGGCUUUACUUAUCUUUUCCGUAAAGAAAUCCCAGGAAGGAAUUUAUUUAAAGGCAAAUGCUACGGCGCGUUGAGUUCCGCCCCUGGCCCCCAGCAGGGCUGCAGGGAGCACAGCUCUGCUGCUUAGGGCUGAGGGGCCCAAUCAGCUCCGAGCAGAGAAGCCAUACAUCGAUUUGCAGCAAGGACUAAGAAAUGGAUUUUUCUUAAAAGUUGGUGCAUAACGGCACUUCACGUGACGGGACAGACUCUAGAAAAAAUAGAUCAGCUGUUAAUUUGCAUUCAUGAGCCUUAACAGCGUUGGCCAGAAAGUGAUUAAGGAACCGCCUAGCAGCCUCAACAUCCAUCGACACAGAAGCGAUCCCAGCGGCUUCCCCGGGCACCAAGCAAAGCAGCAGCCCUGCUGGGGCAGCCCACGGUCCCCCCCCGCUCCCCCCACCCCCACGGGCACAUUCUGCACAGAGCUGUGUUGCUGCAGCUGCUGCUUGCAGAGCUGUGGCCACACUUCCCCCACGGAAUAAUCCAAAGCGAAACCCAUUUGCUUUCAGCCGAGCUGGGGCUGUUUUUACUGCUGGGGAAUUUGGGGCUGAAUGUUUUCGUUUUGCUGGCGUUUCUCAUCACUUAGGUUCUCAAAGCCGGGAACAAACCAUGGUUUAUUUCUUUCCAGCGUGACUUUGCACCAAAACACGAACCACCACAGCUUGCCCCCGUUCCAAGGUAUUUCACCUAUUUGAGCCGUCGAAUCGUGACUUUUAUAAGUUGAAAGGAUAAAGGAAUUAUUAAAACACACGGAAACAACAGCAGAAAUGCACGACGUUUGGGAAGCACAACGCAGCAACGCUACAUAAAAAGAUUUAACGAGUUCCGUGGGAAAAGCAGCAGACAAACUCAGCAAUUCAGCUGCAAGGUAUUUGAGCUCACUUGCUCAACAAAUAGGUUGCACUGGGACUCGAACUUAUUUUGUCACUUGUUAUGAACUGCAGCCCUACGUUCUGUUUUUUCCUCCCCAUCUGAUGCAGGCUCCUUGCUCGGCAGCUCAGGGUUGUCCUUCCAGCACCUGGGCAUUCCUCACGUUCGGAUUCAGAUGCUGCACUCAGCUCUGAUGUUUCUCUUAUGCUAAAAUCCGGGAUGUUUAGAAAUCCAUAAGGGUCAGGUAAACCACAGCUGCUCUGGGCAAGAGCUGGGAAUCACUGAACGGACACUAAGCAGAAACUGGAGAGCGAAUUUAAAUGCCACUGAAAUUAGAAGUAGAAAAUAAGGAAAAGUACAUCCAUUUCUGAAAGGGAAAAACUUGGUAUAAAAAAGCCAAAGUAAAACGACCCAUCAAAAGAUAAUUUUACCAACAAAAAGUGGCUCAACCUUUAAGAAAUUCCACACCCUGGGGUCUACAUUUAUCCAAAUCCAACUCUCCUUUGACUGCGUUUCCCUAGAAAGGGAUUUGCACUGAAAACGAGACAUUGCUUAGCUCUACAUUGACAGGUUUAGGAGGUUUGUUCCCAUCCACCCUCCUGCGAGCAAAGCAAGUUCACCACGGCCACAGGUCAGCCCUGAGCAGAGCGAGGAGCAGAGUCAAGAGGAACAUGGGCCUUCUGCAAGCGUUGGGGGGAGCGGAGGAAGAAAGAGGAACGGCUGAACGUGGGGCAAGCAGCGUUCAACUCGGCUAAGGAGGAUCGGCUGUCAGCACACCAACCGAGGCGGUGACGUGAGGACAACUGGAUGGUAAUUUUCCUCCAAGGCAGAUUUCAAACACUCCAAUG